CCCAAACACGGGCAUCAUAACUGCGGCCGACAGUGUCAUACCCCUCCUGAGCUCUUACCCAGUUAACAUCUGACCACGCUGUGUACCGUGGAACAGCUUCUGCAGGAGAGGUUAGGAGCGUCCCCCAUUGAUCCAUAACCCUGAACGCUUCCAUCCCCUUAUUUAGACUGACAACCUAUAAGGCUGGCGAUGCCAUUUGGAAUUCUCCUGGACAGAAAGCGGAACUGAGCACGGCUCUCCCACAGCCUGGCUGCUGCUAGACUGUGUGCUGAGCACGAGUACUCCACGUACCUACGGGAUCAGUGUUCAGCUGCUGGAGCAGAACCCUGAGAACACCUUGGCUGCAGACAGCAAAUCCGCACCGAGCUGCUCAAUGCUGCCCACGCUAAGUCAAUACUAACGCCGUCGAAAUUACUUGCUCACAAACAGCUCUGAUGGGUAACCUUAAUGGACAAACGCCGUUUAUCCGAGCUGUGACAGCGUUCCGAGCUCGCAGGUGAAGGAAACGCAGUCGCUUUCCCUCUUCUCUUCACGUCUGCUCUCCCACCGAACCAUUUCCCCCUCAACUUCCCACAGAGCUCGCCACGACCCCUGCAACCAAACGCGGGACAGCCCACCACGCAAGGGAGCUGCAUGCCACAAGUCCUGCAAAAACCAGCAUCAGCUGCUGGGGAGCUGCACCCCCCCUAGACCCCCCCAAGCCCCCAGAGCCGCCGCAGGAGACCCCCAGAGCCGGCCGGGGGACCCUCCCACACCCCCUAAGACCCCCGUAACCUGAACCCGAAGGCAGCCGCCCGGGUCCCCGAGCAGCCACGGGGGAGCGGGCGGUCCCCGGGGAGCCCCGCCGUGAGGCGCCCCGGGAACAGCCGGCACUCCCGGCCCGGCAGCGAGCGCCCCGCGCCGCCGGGCCAGCGACAAAGUGAAUU
Phalacrocorax carbo (great cormorant) is the source of this 926-nucleotide non-coding RNA. The record is from RefSeq and is a predicted model, not a curated record. NCBI's taxonomy places the organism in Eukaryota, Metazoa, Chordata, Aves, Suliformes, Phalacrocoracidae.